RNAcentral lists this ribosomal RNA (429 nucleotides) under bacterium. RNAcentral's name for it is "partial 16S ribosomal RNA". It matches the Rfam family "Bacterial small subunit ribosomal RNA", at positions 355 to 776 of the family's 1533-position model. The record is from RNAcentral.
UAGGGAAUCUUCCACAAUGGACGCAAGUCUGAUGGAGCAACGCCGCGUGAGUGAAGAAGGUUUUCGGAUCGUAAAGCUCUGUUGUUGGUGAAGAAGGAUAGAGGCAGUAACUGGUCUUUAUUUGACGGUAAUCAACCAGAAAGUCACGGCUAACUACGUGCCAGCAGCCGCGGUAAUACGUAGGUGGCAAGCGUUGUCCGGAUUUAUUGGGCGUAAAGCGAGCGCAGGCGGAAUGAUAAGUCUGAUGUGAAAGCCCACGGCUCAACCGUGGAACUGCAUCGGAAACUGUCAUUCUUGAGUGCAGAAGAGGAGAGUGGAAUUCCAUGUGUAGCGGUGGAAUGCGUAGAUAUAUGGAAGAACACCAGUGGCGAAGGCGGCUCUCAAGUCUGCAACUGACGCUGAGGCUCGAAAGCAUGGGUAGCGAACAGG